RNAcentral lists this ribosomal RNA (253 nucleotides) under uncultured bacterium. Its description in RNAcentral is "partial 16S ribosomal RNA". It matches the Rfam family "Bacterial small subunit ribosomal RNA", at positions 524 to 776 of the family's 1533-position model. The record is from RNAcentral.
CACGUAGGGUGCAAGCGUUGUCCGGAAUUAUUGGGCGUAAAGAGCUUGUAGGCGGUUUGUCGCGUCUGCCGUGAAAAUCCGGGGCUCAACCCCGGACUUGCGGUGGGUACGGGCAGACUAGAGUGUGGUAGGGGAGACUGGAAUUCCUGGUGUAGCGGUGAAAUGCGCAGAUAUCAGGAGGAACACCGAUGGCGAAGGCAGGUCUCUGGGCCACUACUGACGCUGAGAAGCGAAAGCGUGGGGAGCGAACAGG